RNAcentral lists this ribosomal RNA (253 nucleotides) under uncultured bacterium. RNAcentral describes it as "partial 16S ribosomal RNA". It matches the Rfam family "Bacterial small subunit ribosomal RNA", at positions 524 to 776 of the family's 1533-position model. The record is from RNAcentral.
UACGUAGGGUGCAAGCGUUGUCCGGAAUUAUUGGGCGUAAAGAGCUCGUAGGCGGUUCGUCGCGUCGGCUGUGAAAUCGCCCGGCUCAACUGGGCGGGGUCAGCGGAUACGGUCGAGCUUGAGCAAGCUAGGGGGCAAUGGAAUUCCCGGUGUAGUGGUGGAAUGCGUAGAUAUCGGGAGGAACACCAGUGGCGAAGGCGGUUGCCUGGGGCUUUGCUGACGCUGAUGCGCGAAAGCGUGGGGAGCGAACAGG